UUUUUUUAAGGUCAGUAUUUAUUUUUUUAUUUAUAAAAAUGUACAAUAUGUACAAAAUAUUACAUUCAAGUUUAUAAUGGUGUAUCUACGUUUAUAGUGAAUAAUAAAACUAAAACGUAAUUAACGAUAGCGAUUUCAUUGCCAACAUAUCAACCGCUUAAUCAAUCUUUUUCUCCGGUCUCUAGGUGUCUAAAGACAACCCGAAUCACACCCAAUCAUCUGUCCUUC
Molecule: non-coding RNA, 228 nt
Organism: Cinara cedri
Lineage: Eukaryota; Metazoa; Arthropoda; Insecta; Hemiptera; Aphididae
Source: the annotation of a GenBank genome assembly